This 373-nucleotide long non-coding RNA is filed under the name Salmo salar (Atlantic salmon). RNAcentral's name for it is "lncRNA (ENSSSAG00000107435.1)". Lineage: Eukaryota; Metazoa; Chordata; Actinopteri; Salmoniformes; Salmonidae. The record is from RNAcentral.
GUUGAAGACCCAUCAGUUCACUGGCGCGCGUUCAUGUGAGAAGGGACCUGUGUUCCAAAAUGUUUUUCAAGACACAGGAACCAUCCGGUUGGAAUAUUACUGAAGUUUCACGUUCUAAAGGCCCUAAAGAUUGAUGCUUUACAACGUUUGACAUGUUUGAACGAACGUAAAUAGAUUUUUUUUUAAACUUUUCUUUUUGGCGUGCUUCCAACAUUUGGAGUAGCUGAACUGAACGUGCGAACAACAAGGAGCUAUUUGGACAUAAAUUAUGGAGUUUAUCGAACAAAACAAGAUUUAUUGUGGACCUGGGAUCCCUGGAAGUGCCUUCUGAUGAAGAUUAUUAAAGAUUAAACUGAAUGCAAAGCUUGGCCUG